This 761-nucleotide ribosomal RNA is filed under the name Prevotella melaninogenica. RNAcentral describes it as "bacterial SSU rRNA". It matches the Rfam family "Bacterial small subunit ribosomal RNA", at positions 28 to 776 of the family's 1533-position model. The record is from RNAcentral. Lineage: Bacteria; Pseudomonadati; Bacteroidota; Bacteroidia; Bacteroidales; Prevotellaceae.
GAUGAACGCUAGCUACAGGCUUAACACAUGCAAGUCGAGGGGAAACGGCAUUAAGUGCUUGCACUUUUUGGACGUCGACCGGCGCACGGGUGAGUAACGCGUAUCCAACCUUCCCAUGACUAAGGGAUAACCUGCCGAAAGGCAGACUAAUACCUUAUGGUCUUCACUGACGGCAUCAGAUGUGAAGUAAAGAUUUAUCGGUUAUGGAUGGGGAUGCGUCUGAUUAGCUUGUUGGCGGGGUAACGGCCCACCAAGGCAACGAUCAGUAGGGGUUCUGAGAGGAAGGUCCCCCACAUUGGAACUGAGACACGGUCCAAACUCCUACGGGAGGCAGCAGUGAGGAAUAUUGGUCAAUGGGCGAGAGCCUGAACCAGCCAAGUAGCGUGCAGGAUGACGGCCCUAUGGGUUGUAAACUGCUUUUGUAUGGGGAUAAAGUCAAUCACGUGUGAUUGUUUGCAGGUACCAUACGAAUAAGGACCGGCUAAUUCCGUGCCAGCAGCCGCGGUAAUACGGAAGGUCCGGGCGUUAUCCGGAUUUAUUGGGUUUAAAGGGAGCGUAGGCUGGAGAUUAAGUGUGUUGUGAAAUGUAGACGCUCAACGUCUGACUUGCAGCGCAUACUGGUUUCCUUGAGUACGCACAACGUUGGCGGAAUUCGUCGUGUAGCGGUGAAAUGCUUAGAUAUGACGAAGAACUCCGAUUGCGAAGGCAGCUGACGGGAGUGCAACUGACGCUGAAGCUCGAAGGUGCGGGUAUCGAACAGG